Molecule: ribosomal RNA, 253 nt
Filed under: uncultured bacterium
Lineage: Bacteria
Description: partial 16S ribosomal RNA
Rfam family: Bacterial small subunit ribosomal RNA
Source: RNAcentral
UACAGAGGGUGCAAGCGUUGUUCGGAAUUAUUGGGCGCAAAGCGCGUGUAGGCGGCUUUGCAAGUCAGGUGUGAAAUCCCUCAGCUUAACUGAGGAAGUGCGCCCGAAACUGCAGAGCUUGAGUACCGGAGAGGGUGGCGGAAUUCCCCAAGUAGAGGUGAAAUUCGUAGAUAUGGGGAGGAACACCGGUGGCGAAGGCGGCCACCUGGACGGAUACUGACGCUGAGACGCGAAAGCGUGGGGAGCAAACAGG